CGGGAAAUAACUUUGUCCUGCUAUAUUUGAACUUCCAGCCAAGUUCACUCGAUGCACAGGGAGUUGCAGUUUUGCUUUGUGAACAUGGGCUGCAUUCUCUGACAAAUCGUGACAAUGGUAAGAAAGUUUUGUUUCAUUUUGUUUCAUUAUGGAAGUUCCCUCUGUGUCUUCUUUUGGUUCAUGUUGAAUGCCAUGGGUGUGUGCUGCUAUCCAUUGCAGUGAAAGAUUCUUUUUGUGUUGGAGUGCUUUUGCAUAAAUGCUUCAGUAAUUCUAACUUGAGAUGGAGCAAGAGCUGAUAGACCUGGGGCAGAACUGGCAUGGCUGAGGAUCCACUGGCAGUCUACUGGGCAGCAUCUCAGUGUCUAAGGGAGCUCUAAGAGGGAUUGGUUGUUUGUAUUUGUCGGGAAUGCUACGUGUUCCCUCUACUCCCUUAAGCAGCAACAACACGAUGCAUGUUUUAUACGUGUCAUGGAAAGACAGGAUUACAAUGUGUUCUGUCAGUUUCUGCACUGCCUCUGUAGUGGGGUUCUUUGCACGGUGCCCAGUUCAUUUGGUGUCCCAUGUGCUGGGUGAUCAUUUGGGCCAUGCUUAUGCGUGUGGGGGACGCAGAAGUGCAGAGCUGCAGGGCUCAGUGUGUGGGGCAGUUUUCUGGGUGUUCCAUUCAGUAGCACCUGUGAGUCUGCACAGCCGGUGUCCUUGUGGCUGGAGAAAGGAAGGGCUGUGUGCAAUGGCCUUGAGCUCGAGCGGGAAGCUGCAUUUGCAAUUGACAUCCCCCAUUCCCAGAAUGCUGAGUGAGAAGGAAGGUUUGCCUGCAUGUUCUGUGCAGGAAAGUGUCAGAGAGAAAUGUGCAGCAUGUUUUGAGAGCUGCUGUGGUGUGCUAUGUGUGGAGCCGUGCAUUUCAAGGGCUGCAGGCAUUGCAUUCUUGCUCUGCUGAGUUGUGCUUCUACCUGUGAAUGCUGUGUGUUUUGCCUCCUGGUCAUGACGUCUCUCCAUCCAGAUGUGCCCUUCUGCAGCCACUCUGAUGCAUUCUGCUGCAGCUCAGCUGUUCAAUUGGGUCAUUGCUGAGUGCAGCAGCCAGCAACACAGCUGCACUCGUGGUGUUAGGACACACCAUAACACAUAGGCAUGCAGACCUCUGUUUUGCCUGGGCUGCAGUGUGCUAAUAGGAAUAGUAUUGGUCUGCAUAUCGAUGCACUGCUCUGAAAGUAAUGCCUCCUAUUUAUUCCCAUAGAAACUUCAACAAUGAGUUCAAUAACUGUGGUUUGGAGCAGAUUCACAUCUACAAAAUGCUAUUUUUUAUCAUAGUCACCAUCACAGCCAUGCAUAUUGACCAGUGGUGCACAGGUGUCUGUAUACUGUGCUCAUAGUAAUCUUCAGUAGUCGAGGUGACCCUCUGUUGCUACUGCUAAAACACAGCACUCACUGGUUCACGGUGCUCACAUCCACUGACUGGACUGCAUAAACAUUCAGCAAAUGUUGCUCAAAUCCAUGAUGGAAUAUUUUCUGCAUGGAGAAAUUCAUUGAUAAUUGGAGUUUCUCACAUUCUUCUAUGUCAGAUGGCAUUUUGUCAGACUGCCCCUCUGCUGUCAUCUGCCAAACGGUAACAAAAGGCAAUAGGAUAUUGGUGGGAAGGUUCAACCUCGGCUGCCAUACCUUCAAAAUCUGCCUUGUCUAUCUUUGGGCUUCACAAUAAAAUGGGAGGCAAUGCUUUCA
Molecule: long non-coding RNA, 1713 nt
Organism: Phasianus colchicus (ring-necked pheasant)
Lineage: Eukaryota; Metazoa; Chordata; Aves; Galliformes; Phasianidae
Source: Ensembl